CCUGUUGUUUUUGAUAAAUUUGAACAUUUGACUUCACUUCAUGUUAAUUCAACGGAUGAUCAGUUUCUUACAAGUGGUUAUUCAAAGAAAGUUGCUAUAUAUGAUAUUUGUAGUGGGAAGCGCUUGCAUUUGUUCAGUGAUAUGCAUCAAGAACCUAUUAAUGUGGCAAAAUUUGCACACCACUCUCCAAACCUGCUAGUCACUUCAUCAUUCGAUCGGGAUGUCAAAUUGUGGGAUUUAAGGCAGACACCAAAUCAACCCUGUUAUACAACCUCAAGCUCAAGGGGAAAUGUGAUGGUUUGCUUCUCCCCGGAUGACCUGUAUCUGCUGGUAUCAGCUGUAGACAACGAGGUGAAACAACUUUUGUCUGUAGAUGGUAGGCUGCAGACAGAUUUCGGUAUAGCUUCGACUGGGAGCGCUCAUAAUUAUACACGAUCAUAUUACAUGAAUGGAAGGGACUAUGUCAUUAGUGGAAGCAGUGAUGAAUCAAUUGUUCGCAUUUGUUGUGCUCAAACUGGGAGACGAUUGAGGGACUAUUAUUUGGAGGACCGCAGAUUGGAGAGUCCGAUAUUGGUGCAGUCAUUGAGAAGUGAUCCUUUCAGACAUUUUCACAUGGCUGUUCUAGCAUCCUAUGUUCGCCCCAGUUCAAAACGAGACAUCAUUAAGG
Molecule: unclassified non-coding RNA, 667 nt
Filed under: Hevea brasiliensis (rubber tree)
Lineage: Eukaryota; Viridiplantae; Streptophyta; Magnoliopsida; Malpighiales; Euphorbiaceae
Source: RNAcentral